AGUAAAAUGACUGAAAUUGAUAGGUGAUAAAUUGUAAAUUUAUUUAUAAGUGUUAAACUUUUUUACUA
Molecule: transfer RNA, 68 nt
Filed under: Stheneboea repudiosa
Lineage: Eukaryota; Metazoa; Arthropoda; Insecta; Phasmatodea; Lonchodidae
Description: tRNA-Tyr
Source: RNAcentral